RNAcentral lists this non-coding RNA (769 nucleotides) under Dianemobius furumagiensis. The record is from RNAcentral. Lineage: Eukaryota; Metazoa; Arthropoda; Insecta; Orthoptera; Trigonidiidae.
AUUAUUCAGAAUGGUUUUAUUCUAGCCAAUUUAAUUAUGAUAAGUUAGUUUAACAUGGAAAUUAAUUAAUUUAAAAAGGAAUAGAAUGUUCAGUUUUUAGGAUUUUACAAUUAAAUUAAGUUUAGAUGAAGCUAAAUUUAUUAAUGUUGGAACAAAGUGUGCCAGCAUCCGCGGCUAGACAUGGGAUGUAAAUAAUUAUGAUCAGUUGGAGUGAAAAUGAGAAAAUGAUUUAAUCUAAUUAUUUUAGUGAAAUGAUAUUAGUUAGAACGGGAGAAGUUAAAUGAUUUUGAAGCUUAGGAGAUAAUAUUAUAAACUAGGAUUAGAUACCCUAUUAUUAUUAAUUAAAUUAAAUAAGGAUUAAGGUAGUAUUAGAUAUAGACUUGAAACCUAAAGAAUUUGGCGGUGUUUUAGUCCGUUCAGAGGAAUCUGUUCCAUAAUCGAAAGUACACGAUAAUAAAUACUUGGUUUAUAUGGUUUGUAUACCGCCGUCGUAAGAAUAUUUUAAGAAGGAAGGAAAUUUUCUUUAAAUAAGAAUGUAUUGUAUGUCAGGUCAAGGUGCAGCUUAUAAUUAAGAGGAAAUGGAUUACAAUAAUGAGAAUUAAUUAUAACGGAAUGAUUAAUAGAAUUAUAAUAAAGGUGGAUUUGAAAGUAAAUUUAAUUUUAUAUAUAUUGAUUUAGGCUCUAAAACAUGCACACAUCGCCCGUCACUCUCGUUAUAAAUGAGAUAAGUCGUAACAAAGUAGAUGUAUUGGAAAAUGUAUCUAGAAUG